RNAcentral lists this ribosomal RNA (397 nucleotides) under uncultured bacterium. RNAcentral's name for it is "partial 16S ribosomal RNA". It matches the Rfam family "Bacterial small subunit ribosomal RNA", at positions 523 to 918 of the family's 1533-position model. The record is from RNAcentral.
AUACGUAGGGGGCGAGCGUUGUCCGGAAUGAUUGGGCGUAAAGGGCGCGUAGGCGGCCCGGUAAGUCUGGAGUGAAAGUCCUGUUUUUAAGAUGGGAAUUGCUUUGGAUACUGUCGGGCUUGAGUGCAGGAGAGGUAAGUGGAAUUCCCAGUGUAGCGGUGAAAUGCGUAGAGAUUGGGAGGAACACCAGAGGCGAAGGCGACUUACUGGACUGUAACUGACGCUGAGGCGCGAAAGGGUGGGGAGCAAACAGGAUUAGAUACCCUGGUAGUCCACACUGUAAACGAUGAAUGCUAGGUGUAGGGGGUAUCGACCCCUUCUGUGCCGCAGUCAACACAAUAAGCAUUCCGCCUGGGGAGUACGGCCGCAAGGUUGAAACUCAAAUGAAUUGACGGGU